AGUGAACGCUGGCGGUAGGCCUAACACAUGCAAGUCGAACGGCAGCACAGUAAGAUCUUGCUCUUACGGGUGGCGAGUGGCGGACGGGUGAGGAAUACAUCCGAAUCUACUUUUUCGUGGGGGAUAACGUAGGGAAACUUACGCUAAUACCGCAUACGACCUACGGGUGAAAGCAGGGGAUCUUCGCACCUUGCGCGAUUGAAUGAGCCGAUGUCGGAUUAGCUAGUUGGCGGGGUAAAGGCCCACCAAGGCGACGAUCCGUAGCCGGUCUGAGAGGAUGAUCGGCCACACUGGAACUGAGACACGGUCCAGACUCCUAAGGGAGGCAGCAGUGGGGAAUAGUAGACAGUGGGCGCAAGCCUGAUCCAGCCAUACCGCGUGGGUGAAGAAGGCCUUCGGGUUGUAAAGCCCUUUUGUUGGGAAAGAAAAGCAGCAGGUUAAUACCCCGCGGUUCUGACGGUAACCAAAGAAGAAGCACCGGCUAACUUCGUG
RNAcentral lists this ribosomal RNA (492 nucleotides) under uncultured bacterium. Its description in RNAcentral is "partial 16S ribosomal RNA". It matches the Rfam family "Bacterial small subunit ribosomal RNA", at positions 29 to 507 of the family's 1533-position model. The record is from RNAcentral.